UGAGGAAUAUUGGUCAAUGGACGUAAGUCUGAACCAGCCAAGUAGCGUGCAGGACGACGGCCCUAUGGGUUGUAAACUGCUUUUAUACGAGAAUAAUUUGAUGCACGUGUGCGUUAUUGCAUGUAUCGUAUGAAUAAGGACCGGCUAAUUCCGUGCCAGCAGCCGCGGUAAUACGGAAGGUCCAGGCGUUAUCCGGAUUUAUUGGGUUUAAAGGGAGUGUAGGCGGUUUGUUAAGCGUGUUGUGAAAUUUAGGUGCUCAACAUUUAACUUGCAGCGCGAACUGUCAGACUUGAGUACACGCAACGUAUGCGGAAUUCAUGGUGUAGCGGUGAAAUGCUUAGAUAUCAUGAAGAACUCCGAUUGCGAAGGCAGCAUACGGGAGUGUAACUGACGCUUAAGCUCGAAGGUGCGGGUAUCGAACAGGAUUAGAUACCCUGGUAGUCCGCACAGUAAACGAUGGAUGCCCGCUGUUAGCGCCUGGCGUUAGCGGCUAAGCGAAAGCAUUAAGCAUCCCACCUGGGGAGUACGCCGGCNCGGU
This 538-nucleotide ribosomal RNA is filed under the name uncultured bacterium. RNAcentral's name for it is "bacterial SSU rRNA". It matches the Rfam family "Bacterial small subunit ribosomal RNA", at positions 355 to 895 of the family's 1533-position model. The record is from RNAcentral.